GAGAAAGUGCCUGUAGACAGGCAUUUUCUUAAUGCUGCUUAGUGCUUAUCAAAGUAUGCAAAAAAUAAAACAGCCACAGUAAGAAUCGAGUCGUGUGGUUUGUAGCCUAUUAGGCUAUUUAUAAAAGCAAAACCACAAAUUUGGAAGCCAAAUAAAAAUGGAAAUGUCGUAAUUCCCAUAAGCAGACAGUACUUGAAAGCCGCAUAGGCUAAGCCGGUGUGUGUGUGUGUGUGUGUGUGUGUGUGCUCGAGGUCUGUUUGUGAGGCAGAGAGUUGCGUGCGAAGAGCUCGAGAUGUCAUUCAGAGGAAUCCGCCACCUGAAACGCGAGGAAGUGAAGGCGACUCAAUUGGGUAUAAAGCAUCAGCCAACAUCUGCCCCGAGCAGUCUAAAGCUGAUGAAAACAUCAGCUCGGAGCUCGCACAGGACCUCUCCAAUUUAUUUUAUUUCCCUUGGAUUUACCAUUUGGCAUUACCGAGUCGGUGCACCCAGGGAGACGCAUCUCUUUUUUUUCUGCUCUUAAAGUGAAUGUGAACAACCAACACUAUACUGGAAUUAACUGAUAUCCACCGAGAUUUUGGCGCACCUGUUACCUCCACGGGGCGCAAGAUCAUGAUCCCUCCGGGAGACUGCAUGUAUGCGGGCAGAAAGAGGAGGAAGCCCGUCCAAAAACAGAAGCCGUCUUCUACCAAUGAGAAAACUAACCCGUCCAAGCGGCACAGAGACAGGCUGAAUGCUGAGCUGGACCGGCUGGCCAGCCUGCUGCCAUUCCCCCCGGAUGUCAUCUCCAAGCUGGACAAGCUGUCCGUGCUGCGCCUUGCAGUUUCCUACCUCCGCGUCAAGAGUUUCUUCCAAGGUAAAGGAGGUCGAAAGAGGAGCUGGGGUGUUUGGUUUAUUUGUGUAUGUGUUUUGGUCAAUGAGAGCACAGGGAGUUACAGAGUUGAUAUGGAUUAGACCAGUAUCUGGGGUUGAUAAUGGGAUAUCUGCUGCUGUGAAUUGGCGUAUAGGUCAAUUUUGUCCACCACUGAUACAUAUGUAUUAUAAAACUGAUCCACUAAUAUGCUGGUAGACUAUGGAAAGCCUGUAACAACUGUUUAAACUGAUUCUAAGAUAAUAUGCUACACGAGUAUGCAUAUUAUUAAUAGUGGUAAUAAUGUAUUUUUAGUAGCAAUAGCCCCAUAAGUUUAAGUUUAAAUAGAAAAGAUAUAUUUUGGAAAUUGUCACUUUAAAGAUAUUCCAUGUAACUUUUAGAAGCUGAUAAACUCUUGUGCUGGUGAAAGACAGCUGAGUGGCUGAUACAGAAAGGGAUUAUUCACAGUAUAUUAACCUGCUUCUAUCUGCACUCUUUCUAUCAUUUGCCAGUAGUGCAUCAGGGGGACACCCUUAAUGUAUAGUCAUCUCAUAGAGUGUUGGAAUAACCCAUGAACGUUUUCUAUAGGCCUCACAAGUAAGAAUCCCCUAGAGGUUUGAUGACAUGAACUGAGAUAAGAGAUACUACCUGAGACUGCUCAGUGCAAAGAAACAGCACAGCGUUGCAUUAUAGGAGGUGUACGCUUCUGUGUUAUCUGGAUAGAUUGUCUUUUAGGAAACACUUGUG
This is a long non-coding RNA of Micropterus dolomieu (smallmouth bass), 1594 nucleotides long. RefSeq lists it as uncharacterized. NCBI's taxonomy places the organism in Eukaryota, Metazoa, Chordata, Actinopteri, Centrarchiformes, Centrarchidae. The transcript has 3 exons. The record is from RefSeq and is a predicted model, not a curated record.